Molecule: unclassified non-coding RNA, 345 nt
Filed under: Cercozoa sp.
Lineage: Eukaryota; Cercozoa
Description: partial contains small subunit ribosomal RNA, internal transcribed spacer 1, and 5.8S ribosomal RNA
Rfam family: Eukaryotic small subunit ribosomal RNA (bases 1-47)
Source: RNAcentral
AAAGUCGUAACAAGGUUUCCGUAGGUGAACCUGCGGAAGGAUCAUUAACACGUAUCCACGUAUCAAAACCCCUCUGUGCAAACCCUCUUUGUGAAGGCUCGGUUGGAGUUGUGCCUGCUCGAUCUUAAUGAUGGGAGUCUCCUUUUGGGGUGACUCGGGAUCUAUGAGCAGGUGCAGCGUUUGACAAUCAGCCGCUAUUUUCCCAUCGUUAGGCCCAUUUUAUUAACCCCUUUGUACUCUUUUGUACUGAACCAAUUCUUCGAGUUUCGGCCUUUAAAAAAGCUGAGAUACGAAAGAUAUUACGAAACUAAAGAACAACUCUUAGCAACGGAUAUCUUGGUUCCC